RNAcentral lists this ribosomal RNA (253 nucleotides) under uncultured bacterium. RNAcentral describes it as "partial 16S ribosomal RNA". It matches the Rfam family "Bacterial small subunit ribosomal RNA", at positions 524 to 776 of the family's 1533-position model. The record is from RNAcentral.
UACGUAGGUGGCAAGCGUUGUCCGGAGUUAUUGGGCGUAAAGCGCGCGCAGGCGGUGCGGUAAGUCUAUGGUGAAAGCGCUCGGCUUAACUGGGCGAGGGCCGUGGAGACUGCCGGACUGGAGGGGAGCAGAGGCGAGUGGAAUUCCGGGUGUAGUGGUGAAAUGCGUAGAGAUCCGGAGGAACACCAGUGGCGAAGGCGGCUCGCUGGGCUCAACCUGACGCUGAGGCGCGAAAGCUAGGGGAGCGAACGGG